Molecule: long non-coding RNA, 1061 nt
Organism: Oncorhynchus tshawytscha (Chinook salmon)
Lineage: Eukaryota; Metazoa; Chordata; Actinopteri; Salmoniformes; Salmonidae
Source: Ensembl
CUCUAAAACAGUCUCUGUUUAUUGUUAAACACUUGAGAGAUUGUGGUCAUAAUUCACUUCAAACCACGGUGAGAAAAGGUAAAAACUAAGACAAACAACAAAUGUAAAAAUACAGUACAAAAAGAGGCCUUGUUUUUUUCACUUCUUAUAAUUCUGGUUCCUAUUCCAUGUUGUUGAAAAUAAUCCAUAACUCUGAUCGAAAAUUUAAAUUGAUAUCAGCAAAUUGUGCGUGUGGAUAUGGGUGUGCAUGUCAAUUCACACAUAUUUUUCUUCUUUUAAUACAGGGAAAAUGGUGUGAACUGAGGUUUACAAGCAUGUAUUCGGACUUCUACUUGAAAAGAUUAACAGGAAAAAAUAAAUCACAUCUGACUAUGCUUUUUGGGGUCAAAGCCACUUCUUAAACCAAAACAAAUGAGUCAGUCAUGAUCAAAUGCAGUUCUCUCUGUGGGUAUUGAUACCAUCAUGUCAGACCACUGUUCUUUCCUCCAAUCCUCUCUAAGCACAAGGCGAGAUACAUUAUUAUUAACCAUUGAACACUUCUAAAGAUAGCGGUCAGAGGUGACAAGCCUUUGUUUGUUUACAGCACACUUGUCCUCUGCAGUAGAGGGAACUAUGGGUCUUCCGUUCCUGUGACGGUCCUCUUGAGAGCCAGUUCCAUCAUAGCACUUGGUUUUUGCGACUGCACUUGAAGAAACUUUCAAAGUUCUUGAAAUGUUCUGUAUUGACUGACCUUCAUAUCUUAAAGCAAUAAUGGACUGUCAUUUCUCUUUGCUUAUUUGAGCUGUUCUUGCCAUAAUAUGGACUUGGUCUUUUACCAAAUAGGGCCAUCUUCUGUAAACCACCGCUACCUUGUCACAACACAACGGAUUGGCUCAAACGCAGGAAAGAAAUUCCACAAAUUGACUUUUCACAAUGCACACCUGUUAAUUGAAAUGCACUCCAGAUGAGAGAAUGCCAAGAGUGUGCAAAGCUGUCAUCAAGGCAAAUAUAUUGUUUUGUUUAACACUUUUUUGGUUACUACAUGACCAUUCAUCGAGCAAGUGACCUUGGAUGUGUCCUGU